RNAcentral lists this ribosomal RNA (705 nucleotides) under Trichonephila clavata. RNAcentral describes it as "bacterial SSU rRNA". It matches the Rfam family "Eukaryotic small subunit ribosomal RNA", at positions 420 to 1115 of the family's 1831-position model. The record is from RNAcentral. Lineage: Eukaryota; Metazoa; Arthropoda; Arachnida; Araneae; Nephilidae.
GGAAGGCAGCAGGCACGCAAAUUACCCACUCCCGGCUCGGGGAGGUAGUGACGAAAAAUAACGAUACGGGACUCAUCGAGACCCCGUGAUCGGAAUGAGUACGCUCUAAACCCCCUAACGAGGACCUACCGGAGGGCAAGACUAAUGCCAGCCGCUGCGGUAAUUUUAGCUCCGGUAGCGUAUACUAAAAUUGUUGCAGUUAAAAAGCUCGUAGUCGGACCUCUGCUCCGGACGCCGGGGGCCGCUCGCGCGGUCUCCCGCUGCGCUUCCGGGCAUUCUGCCCGCCACCUCGGGGGUGAUUUUAAAAGGUCGUCCCCGGGUGGAAGGCGGUGAUCGCUUUGCAAAAAUUAGAGUGCUCAGAGCAGGCCCUGCCGCCUGGAUAGUAAUGCACGGAACGAUGGAAGACGCCCUCGGUCCCGGGUUUCCGUGGGAACAGGUCGACGGAGACCGAGGGAAUGAUCGAUAGGAGCAGACGGGGGCAUCCGUAUUCCGACGCUAGAGGUGAAAUUCUUGGACCGUCGGAAGACGACCCACUGCGAAGGCAUUUGCCAAGAAUGCUUCCAUUGACCAAGAACGAAAGUCAGAGGCUCAAAGAAGAUUAGAUACCUUUGUAGUUCUGACCGUAAACGAUACCCUCCAGCGAUCCGGCUGCGUACGAACGUGACGCGCCGGGCAGCUUGCCCGGGAAACCUGAGUUCAGGCUCC